UGCCUGACAGGGCUGCUCUGUAGAUCUGAAGGACUGGGCUUUCUGACCACACAGCCCCGCUGCCACCGAGGACAGUGUCUCUACAAGGUAAACUUGUUUCUUGUCCUUAGCUUGUUGGAAGGGUUUAGGUCCUGCUGCUGGGUGCUGUGGAGUUUGUCUUCUCAGCCCUGUGAGCCUUGCCUCCCUCUAAUAGAAACCAGCAGCCACCUGGGGUGGCUGGGUGUGUGGGGUUGUGUGGGAGGUAUGGGGGGGGGAUGUGUGAGGGGGUGUUCUCUGGCUUGGUUCUUGCCAAGUUCUCUGCAUUUAUCAGCGCCCCCCCCCCUCAAAAAAAAAACCAAAAAAAAAAAAAAACCCAAAAAACCUGAGUUACUCUUCCCGGUCUUUAAAGCCAGACCAUGUCUUGAUACCUGGCAGUUGCUGUUUCAGGAAGGCCAUUUACUCUGAUUUAGUCAACUUUAAAAUGUUUGCGGGAAAGUGCAUAUUGAUCAUUUAGACUGUGCUGCUAGUAACUCUAAUGGGGGUGGUUUAAUUUUAGCUUCUGUGGUUGUUUUUCCUUAAAAAAAAAAAAAAAA
Molecule: long non-coding RNA, 572 nt
Filed under: Rattus norvegicus (Norway rat)
Lineage: Eukaryota; Metazoa; Chordata; Mammalia; Rodentia; Muridae
Description: long non-coding RNA NONRATT010592
Source: RNAcentral